This 1252-nucleotide long non-coding RNA is filed under the name Musa acuminata (dwarf banana). Its description in RNAcentral is "long non-coding RNA (MACU_LNC008091)". Lineage: Eukaryota; Viridiplantae; Streptophyta; Magnoliopsida; Zingiberales; Musaceae. The record is from RNAcentral.
GAAUCGCACAUCCACACAUCUUUCAAACUCGAGUUAUUUGCUUGGCUUUCAUCGGCUAUUUUCUUGACAUCUUUAUUACCCCCAUUUCCAGAGGCUAAGCGGGUAAGGCAAGGAAACCCAUUAGUCCAGAAGUGGGAAAAAGGAGAAAGGUAAGGAAACCCAUUAGUCUAGAAGUAGUAAAAAGGAGAAAGGUAAGGAUUGCGAAGCCCUCUGACCCCGUUCACCCACAUAUCAUUUUCAAACAGGGAUCUAACUUCUUGUGGGCCUUUCUUAUUCUUGAGUUCCGUAGAGCUGAUUCCAAGCCAUAAACAUUUGGAAUUGCAAAAGUGUCGAAUGUGCUUGAAAAGAAAGGCCUUACGACCGUUCAGUUAGGCGCUCCUUGCAAGAUAGCAUUUCAUUGACCGAUACUUUCUUGCUUAUUUUCUGAACUUUGACUUGGAAUUGCCCCAUUUGUAGAUUCUCGAAUGUAGUUGGUGGCGAUAUUACAGAUAUGAAAGCCAUUGAUUCUCUGGAUUGGGAAGAACAAAAGUAUCAGAGGAUGGGAUGGAGCAAGAAGAUUACCAAGAGGAAGAUGACCAGGGACGGGACCCUGGGUCCGAGUGCUGAAGCGUUCCAUUCCAAUGCGAGACGAUCCAGGCCAUAUGCUCUAACCCUUCCUUAUGAUCCCAGUAUAGCCCGCCAUCGACCUCCCUCGCCCUUGUCCGGCUAGACUAAACUAGGCCUCAGCUCAGUGAUGGAGUCUAACCCUAAAGGCCCGUUGGGGUUUGGGUCCCGUGUGGGGUCUAUAGGCAAACCCUUAUCCUGAAAAACCAUUAAUGGCUUAUAGUACCAUACCAGUUCUUAGCCCCUUGACUAUGCCCAUUCCCACUCUUCGGCACAGAACGACAGAAAGAAAGCUGUGAAAGAAAUGCCUUAGCGCUCCCCUGUUACCACCACCCCCUUCUCCGCAAAAGCUGGGUCUAUCUUGAAUGUAUCCUCUGCCUCCAUGGGAAAAGGCUAAGUCCCGUUCUCUCUUUAGAAAGGUAAAAGAUACCCUGAUAAUAGUGCUAUAGAUAAUAGUGCUAUGGUUUAUAGUGCGUGCUAUACUAGAUAAUAGUGCAAUGGUUGAUGGUGCUCUAGAUGAUAAUGCUAUAGAUAAUAGUGCAAUGGUUGAUGGUGCUAUGGUUGAUGGCGAACAUCUCCUUGAAGACGUCAAACUAGAAUGGCAUGCCCCGACCCGACGUCACAAGGUCCCAGCAAAGCUCGACUUAGG